Molecule: non-coding RNA, 55 nt
Filed under: unclassified sequences
Source: RNAcentral
GUAUUAAAGCUACCAUUGACGGUCACAAGUCCGUAUUAAAAAAGCUGAGUGAUAC